GUAGUCAUAUGCUUGUCUCAAAGAUUAAGCCAUGCAUGUCUAAGUAUAAGCAAAUUUAUACCGUGAAACUGCGAAUGGCUCAUUAAAUCAGUCAUCGUUUAUUUGAUAGUACCUUACUACUUGGAUAACCGUGGUAAUUCUAGAGCUAAUACAUGCUAAAAGCCCCGACUUCGGAAGGGGUGUAUUUAUUAGAUUAAAAACCAAUGCCCUUCGGGGCUCUUUGGUGAUUCAUAAUAACUUAACGAAUCGCAUGGCCUUGUGCCGGCGAUGGUUCAUUCAAAUUUCUGCCCUAUCAACUUUCGAUGGUAGUAUAUGGGACUACCAUGGUUUCAACGGGUAACGGGGAAU
Molecule: ribosomal RNA, 348 nt
Filed under: Oidium heveae
Lineage: Eukaryota; Fungi; Ascomycota; Leotiomycetes; Helotiales; Erysiphaceae
Description: SSU rRNA
Rfam family: Eukaryotic small subunit ribosomal RNA
Source: RNAcentral